UAGAAAGUAUCUACUACAGCUAUGUUCAAAUGUAUACAGAUGCUUCAAAGAACACAGCUAACAACAUUUGUAUUUCAUUCAUAGUUCCAGAUUUCAACAUUAAAAUUGGCAAAUGAAUCAGUGAUGGAGUAUCGGUGCAUAAUGGGGAGAUGCUGGCAAUUCUGUCAGCAUUGCGAUGGGCUGAAGAUGUGAGACCAUUGAGAGCAGUUAUAUGCUCUGAUUCCAGCUCAUCAUUAAUCAGCUUGAAACGCAGCCAUUAAGACAGCAGACCAGAUGUCUUAAUAGAGAUACAACAAACACUAUAUAGAAUUCAAAUGAUGGGGCUAAAUAUGACAUUUGUAUGGAUACCAGCACAUUUAGGAAUCAAAGGAAAUGAAAUAGCUGACGAGUGUGAAAAGGAAGCCACAAAAACGAAUCACACUGACAUUACAGUAUGCCUUAGUAAAAUGGAAAUGAAAACCACAGUUAAGGACAAGUUGAAAGAAAGGUGGCAGAAGCAGUGGGAAGAGGAGAGAACAGGAAGGUGGUUAUACAACAUUCAAAGAAAAGUCGGUGUGAUGAGGAAAACGGGGAGAACCAGGAGAGAGGAAACAAUAAUAUCCUGGCUACGUUUAGGGCGCACAGGAUUAAACAGUACAUUAUGUAAAAUCCCAUCAUACAUCAUACAGGAAGAUGUACAGUCUGUGGUCAAGAAGAAACUUUAGAACAUGUUAUGAUUUACUGUCCAUUUAAUCAUUAGUGAAUGUACAGUUAUAAAACUUUACGAAGCAGAAGAAGAAGAUGAAGAAGAAGAAGAAGAAGCUGUCAAAACGAGAUGGUGUCGGCAAGAUUGCGGAUCGUGUAACUACUAUAUCAAAGACAACACUCAAAUUCCCAAUUGUGUUCCUGUCAGUCUCAGGACUUCUGUGACAUGGGAAACUCAGUUAAGCUUCAGAAGCGUUAAGAUAAAGGUGGUGAGGACUCGGGAGAUGUAUUGUUGGCCGUGCAAAGGUAUCUUACCUUAGUCAAGACCUUCCCCAGCCCACCUCCAGACAGACCCUUCCACAUCUAUUACACCUCAACAGGCUGAACCUGAUGAUGUGGCACUGAGCUGUUGUUCAUGUUCUGAGAUUGUGUACAGUAAGGCAAAGAAGAGAGACCACCAACCUGAUUAUUAUUGGGGUUUGUGACUCGAAAAGGUUGAGGACCACUGGCCUAGAACAUGCUGAUUGUAGGUGCUUGGAGUGCAGAGCCACUGCAGUCUUUUGUGAGGCUUGUCUGAAGAGGACUCCACCUUCCUGAUAAGUAGAAUAUCAAGUACAGCACCAGACGGCUUGAUGGGUUUGGGCUCACAGACGGGGAAAGGAAUGAAGAGGUUGUGGUCUUUCCAAGGAAGAUUUGUCAGAGUCACAAAGGAGAUGACUCCAUCGGACCGUCUUGACCUGCUGACUGAUGCCCUUCUGCAUUAUGGACGGAGAAAAUCAACUGACCUAGAGGUGCAGCUCCUGCAGAGAUUAGACAAAGCAGAGGAAAAAUAUCAAUUUUCGUUCAAGAAGACAUCUCAUCUGUCAUCAGAGAGGCACCAGUAAUGAAGUACAAUCCUGUAAGCUGUGUGGGUGAAGAAGUAACAUGAAAUGAAGCACUUUAUUAGAGCUGUAAUGUCUCCAGACACUGACUGGAAAAGGAACUACAUCAUCAAGCUAAUUCAAUUCUACAAACUCAAGUAAGAGUUCAAUGUGUUUAUGUAAGACUAUAUGGUAAUUACACCCAUCUUUAAGUGCCCUACUGAUGUGCUUCAACAUGGAAGCCUAGGUGUGAUUAGAUAGCUAUGAGCCAGACAAUAACGUAGCAUAUUGUUGAAGGCCCUCCCCAUGUCAAGCAUACAGACACUGAUAUACAAUGAUGAUGAGGAUGACAAUGAUAUGCCAAUGAUGAUGGCCAAACUACACGCCAUCUUGGACAGUGUCUCCCACCCGCUCCAU
This is a long non-coding RNA of Siniperca chuatsi (mandarin fish), 1961 nucleotides long. RefSeq lists it as uncharacterized. The record is from RefSeq and is a predicted model, not a curated record. NCBI's taxonomy places the organism in Eukaryota, Metazoa, Chordata, Actinopteri, Centrarchiformes, Sinipercidae. The transcript has 6 exons.